Molecule: non-coding RNA, 174 nt
Filed under: Clostridium magnum
Lineage: Bacteria; Bacillati; Bacillota; Clostridia; Eubacteriales; Clostridiaceae
Also listed under: 1 other name
Description: Lysine sequence
Rfam family: Lysine riboswitch aptamer
About the family: Riboswitches are metabolite binding domains within certain messenger RNAs that serve as precision sensors for their corresponding targets.
Source: RNAcentral
AUGUGAUACAGAGGCCGCGGUUGUCAUUAGUAUUGUGUGUUUUCUUAAAUGAACAUUCAAGAAAGGGUCACUCGCCGAAAUGCAUGAAAUAGAUCAUGUGUUGGGAUUAUACUGAAUAAGUAUAGUACUGUCUUCAGAAAGUUGCCCGAUUUUCUAAAGAAGUGCUUAUCAUGU